Long non-coding RNA from Meriones unguiculatus (Mongolian gerbil), 413 nucleotides. RefSeq lists it as uncharacterized. NCBI's taxonomy places the organism in Eukaryota, Metazoa, Chordata, Mammalia, Rodentia, Muridae. The record is from RefSeq and is a predicted model, not a curated record. The transcript has 4 exons.
CUUGGAAGCUCACGCAAGGUCAGUUUGCACAAAGAGGCUGCAAUAGGUGGACAGCUUUGGGUAAGAAAGUUCACCAACAGUAAAAUAGCACUGGCUCCCUGGGAUGGUGAGAAGAAUUAACAUAAAAUCACAGAGUGCACGGAGCAUGACAGAUUCUGGCAAAUUGAAUUGGUAACAAAGGAAAGAUGGAUUUGCAGUGGAGGUCGCUGGAAUCAGAAAUAAGAUGCUUUGCUUGCAGUGUAGCUCGGCGAUUUAAAGGACCCUGAAACCAAGCCUGGUGACCUGAGUUGGAUCCCCAGGACCUACAUGGUGCAAGGAAAGAUCUGAUUCUUACCAGUUGUCUUCUGACCUCCACACGUGUGUCUGUGUGAACAGACUUUUGCUCUUUCUCUCUCUCUCACCCACCUACCCAC